UAGCUUUGCUGAGGUGUCGGGGUGU
Molecule: non-coding RNA, 25 nt
Filed under: Mus musculus (house mouse)
Lineage: Eukaryota; Metazoa; Chordata; Mammalia; Rodentia; Muridae
Source: RNAcentral